RNAcentral lists this ribosomal RNA (468 nucleotides) under uncultured bacterium. RNAcentral describes it as "partial 16S ribosomal RNA". It matches the Rfam family "Bacterial small subunit ribosomal RNA", at positions 28 to 507 of the family's 1533-position model. The record is from RNAcentral.
GACGAACGCUGGCGGCGUGCUUAACACAUGCCAGUCGAACGGAAAGGCCCUGCUUUUGUGGGGUGCUCGAGUGGCGAACGGGUGAGUAACACGUGAGUAACCUGCCCUUGACUUUGGGAUAACUUCAGGAAACUGGGGCUAAUACCGGAUAGGAGCUCCUGCUGCAUGGUGGGGGUUGGAAAGUUUCGGCGGUUGGGGAUGGACUCGCGGCUUAUCAGCUUGUUGGUGGGGUAGUGGCUUACCAAGGCUUUGACGGGUAGCCGGCCUGGGAGGGUGACCGGCCACAUUGGGACUGAGAUACGGCCCAGACUCCUACGGGAGGCAGCAGUGGGGAAUAUUGCACAAUGGGCGGAGGCCUGAUGCAGCAACGCCGCGUGCGGGAUGACGGCCUUCGGGUUGUAAACCGCUUUCGCCUGUGACGAAGCGUGAGUGACGGUAAUGGGUAAAGAAGCACCGGCUAACUACGUG